UGCACGUCUAAGUACAUACUUUGAUGAAAAGUGAAACUGCGAACGGCUCAGUACAACGGUCACAAUUUACUGGUCGAUAGUUUUUAAUUGGAUAACUGUGGCAAUUCUAGAGCUAAUACAUGCACUAUGCUCCGAGCGCGGGUGACCGUGCGACGAGCGCGUUUAUCAGUUUGAAGCCAGCGGGGCUAUUGGCCUUCAAUUGACUCUAGAUAACUUAGCUGAUCGUGAGGCGUAUGCCGAAUGCGACGCGGCCAUAAAAGGUCUGCCCUAUCACACUGUCGAUGGUCGGCGCUCUGCCCACCAUGGUGAUAACGGGUGACGGGGGAUCAGGGUUCGAUUCCGGAGAGGGAGCAUGAGAAACGGCUGCCACAUCCAUGGAAGGCAGCAGGCGCGCAACUUACCCAAUCUCGAUACGAGGAGGUAGUGACGAAAAAUAUCAGUGCGGGGUUCAUCGAAUGCCCGCUACUGAAAUGAGCGCAAUGUAAGCAUUUGCGCGAGGAUCGAUUGGAGGGCAAGUCUGGUGCCAGCAGCCGCGGUAAUUCCAGCUCCAAUAGUGUAUAUAUAUGUUGUUGCGGUUAAAACGCUCGUAGUUGGAAUCCAGUUUCGCUAGGCGGCGGCAGGAAACGGAUUACGCCGCAUGAAAAUUGCGGUACCGUUGAGCCGUCGUUGCAAGAUCCCAUAUAGCCGGACCUUCUGCAGUGCGGGUCAAUCCGCACUUGUGGAUGGCCGGCGACGAUACUUUGUAAAAAAUAGAGUGCUCAAAGCAGGCAGGUAUUUUGCUCGCAUAAGUUAUACAUCGAAUAAUUGAAUACGACCCCGCUUCCAAUUUUGCUGGCCUUUGCGGUAAGCGUGGGUAAUGAUUGACAGAAACUGCGCGGGGGCAUUCGUAUUGCGCCGGGAGAGGUGAAAUUCUAGGAUCGGCGCAAGACGGACCGAGGCGAAGGCAUUUGCCAAGGAUGUUUUCGUUAAUCAAGAACCAACGUUAGAGGUUCGAAGACGAUCAGAUACCGUCGUAGUUCUGACCCUAAACUAUGCCAACUGGCCGCCCGCAAGCGUAGUGCUAAUAUUUCCGUCUGUGACCUUGCGGGUGGUCAAGCCCGAAAGGAAAGUUUUUGGGCUCCGGGGGAAGUAUGGUUGCAAAACUGGAACUUAAAGGAAUUGACGGAAGGGCACCACAAGGAGUGGAGCCUGCGGCUUAAUUUGACUCAACACGGGGAAACUUACCCGGUCCGGACACUGGAAUGAUUGACAGACUCGAGCUCUUUCUUGAUCCAUGGGGUGGUGGUGCAUGGCCGUUCUUAGUUCGUGGAGCGAUUUGUCUGGUUAAUUCCGCUAACGAGACGAGACCCCAGCCUGCUAACAUAGUUCGCCGACACCCGUUUGUCGCGCGAUGACGCGUUCCACGCUCUCGUGGUUCGCUAAACUUCUUAGAGGGACCGAUAGCUUUCAAAAAGCUGCAUGAAGUGGAGCCAUAACAGGUCUGUGAUGCCCUUAGAUGUCCGGGGCCGCACGCGUGCUACAUUGAUAGAAUCAGUGCGGUUCUAUGAAGGCCCGCUCCGCAAGGAGCGCGGAAAACAUUAGUUGCUAUUUUAGUUGGGAUCGUGGCUUGCAAUUUCGCCUCGUGAACGAGGAAUUCCCCGUAAUCGCCAGUCAUCAACUUGCGCUGACUGCGUCCCUGCCCUUUGUACACACCGCCCGUCGCUACUACCGAUUGAGUGGUUUAGUGAGACAUUCGGACUGGAAAUUGCCUCGGCAGUCAGACGGAAAGUUUGUCGAACUUUAUCAUUUAGAGGAAGUAAAAGUCGUAACAAGGUUUCC
RNAcentral lists this ribosomal RNA (1818 nucleotides) under Addisonia lateralis. Its description in RNAcentral is "SSU rRNA". It matches the Rfam family "Eukaryotic small subunit ribosomal RNA". Lineage: Eukaryota; Metazoa; Mollusca; Gastropoda; Lepetellida; Addisoniidae. The record is from RNAcentral.